RNAcentral lists this transfer RNA (72 nucleotides) under Annulohypoxylon bovei var. microspora. RNAcentral describes it as "tRNA-Glu". It matches the Rfam family "tRNA". From Rfam's summary of the family: Transfer RNA (tRNA) molecules are approximately 80 nucleotides in length. Lineage: Eukaryota; Fungi; Ascomycota; Sordariomycetes; Xylariales; Hypoxylaceae. The record is from RNAcentral.
UCCGAUAUAGUGUAACGGCCAACAUACCUCGUUUUCACCGAGGAGCUCGGGGUUCGAUUCCCCGUAUCGGAG